GACGAACGCGGGCGGCGUGCUUAACACAUGCAAGUCGAACGGAAAGGCCCUGCUUUUGUGGGGUGCUCGAGUGGCGAACGGGUGAGUAACACGUGAGUAACCUGCCCUUGACUUUGGGAUAACUUCAGGAAACUGGGGCUAAUACCGGAUAGGAGCUCCUGCUGCAUGGUGGGGGUUGGAAAGUUUCGGCGGUUGGGGAUGGACUCGCGGCUUAUCAGCUUGUUGGUGGGGUAGUGGCUUACCAAGGCUUUGACGGGUAGCCGGCCUGAGAGGGUGACCGGCCACAUUGGGACUGAGAUACGGCCCAGCCUCCUACGGGAGGCAGCAGUGGGGAAUAUUGCACAAUGGGCGGAAGCCUGAUGCAGCAACGCCGCGUGCGGGAUGACGGCCUUCGGGUUGUAAACCGCUUUCGCCUGUGACGAAGCGUGAGUGACGGUAAUGGGUAAAGAAGCACCGGCUAACUACGUG
RNAcentral lists this ribosomal RNA (468 nucleotides) under uncultured bacterium. Its description in RNAcentral is "partial 16S ribosomal RNA". It matches the Rfam family "Bacterial small subunit ribosomal RNA", at positions 28 to 507 of the family's 1533-position model. The record is from RNAcentral.